AAUAAACUGAUUUUAAGCUACCAAAUGACUAUAAAUUGUAAUUUUCUAAAAUAUUAACCAUAUUAUGUAAUUAAUAUAGAAUUUUGUCUAUAUUGUGUAAUUUUUCCUAAUUAAAUUAACACAAGGAAAUAGAGGGAGAGAAGUACAGAUUUGGACCCUCUUUUGGGCCCAUUUCAAAUCUGGCCAGCCUUUGGGCCUAUUCAUGUACUUUGGGUCCAUCUUUACUGUUGUAUAUUGGCUGUAUACCAGAGGUAUACUCUUUGUAUUUCUUGUAUAAUGGUUGUACAUCUAUGUAUAUGAUUGUAUAAAUGCAUAUAUCCUUUGUCUUCCACCUUUAUAUUUGCUUUCAUUCCUCAAUUCUUGUCGUAUAUCCUCUAUAUACUGUUGGAUAUCCAUGUAUACAACCCUAUUUCUUCAGAUGUUUAGUCCAUUUCGGACUUGUAGGAGGCUUAAACUCGAAGAUGAUAUAGUCCUCUUUGGCCCAUUGGAAAAUGCAGGAAUGGAAGUCCAUUUGGACUCAUCUCGGAUAAGGUUCAUGCACAGAAGAUAGGAUAAAAAAUUAGCAGCCGAUCAUACUAGGAUCUCAAAAAUAGGUGAUCCAGUAUAGUGGUAUAUUUAACUUCACAUAUUUACUAGUGACCUAUUUCAACAAACAAUUUAAUACAUAUACAUGGUAAAAGACAUACAAAUCAACCUCUAAUUUAAGCAACAACAUUUAAAACCCAUGAAGUCAACUGAUAUGUUUAAAAAAAAGGAGAAGUUCUCAAGAUAGACUAAUUAAAAGCCAAUCAAACAUAACAUUAAAGAGCAAAUGAAACAACCAGCAUAUGCAGUACUUUGAAAGAAAAUUCCAUCCCACCAGAAUAGCAAAAGAUUUGGUAUGGCCAAGGGAUUAUUGCCCAAAUGGAAAGACAAUUUCCAACAACUUGAAUGAGCCAAAAAUCUUGAAUACAUACAAGGAUAUCUUAAAGAACCAUGGUCAAAAUAAAGGAUUCAUGAAAAAAUUAGAGCCGAGGGGAGGUAACCAUACAAGAUCUCGAGUCUAUUAAUACUUUGGGUAGCAAAAUAAAGGUCAUGACCUUUUAACCAUUGCUAAAAGUCUAAGCAUUUUUACCCAAACAGAUUCAAAGAUGAAAUCUAACGUGAUUAAGAAAGCGCUCCAAUUGGUCCGGUACUUAUGAGGCAUACAAGCUGGACUUAUGGUUGCAACAGAUUCAUCAUGCAAAAAAGAUAUAGACUCGAGUUAUGGUAAACAUAUCUUUCUCAACAGACACACUAAUCUAAAAAUUAAACGAGAACAAGCGAGAAAUGGAUUUUAUAGAAACUAAUACAAAAAUAAACAAUAUUCAUGUCAUCAAUUCAAAAGAGAAAUGGGAGAAGGAUCCUCAACGAGCUAAAAGGGAAGCCAAUCAUAUCCAAUACGUUUAAGAGAAGUAUAAAUAAUUAACAAUAUGAAUUAACACCUAUCCAAUGAUUAGAACUACUUAAACAAGUUUAUGAAUACAACAUUGAUCCAUAUCUGUCUCUUUACUGAUGACAAGAAAAUCAAGCGACUAUAUCACUUCCAAUGAACUGAACUCAAAGGAUAUAACUUAUUCAACUAGCUGCCAAGGAAGUUGAUUUCAACCCUUUACAACAAAAACCAAAAAAAUAGCCUCACGAACUUAACAACACAUUUUUUCAAAAAAAAUACCUAAGCAGCUAACCAAAUCAGAGAGAAAUAAGCACACGAAUUCAAACAUGGUCUUUAAGACCUUACUCAAUACACCAAUUUCAUUCUCACUUAGGAAGCUUUACAUUAACGAAACAACAAGAAAAAUAAUAAAAAAUCCUAGGUUUCUACCACACAUAAUCCCACCAUCACUAUAAAAUCGCUACUCGUACGAAGAGAACGGAAGAAGACGAUGAAAUAACGAAAAGAAAAACAUGUUUACCUUUUUCGGUGCAGCAAACGGGACUAGGGGCUAAAGACUCUUUUGAUAUCUAAAAUCCCUUACAAAUUGGGGAUCUCUGCUAUCCAACCUCUCUUCUUCCAACCCCUUUUAAGAGUGAAUGGAUGGGGUUCAUAUAGGACCCCAAAAAAUUUUAAUUCUUGAGAAAUUGGCGAUGUUGGAUACAAAAUUUCAAGGGUUUUUUGGAAAAUUUCUUGAGGGGAAUUUCAAAUCCACCAAGGGAUAAGGAUUAGUGAGCUGAAACUGUAGUAAUUCGUAUGAAUUUUUCCUUGAAUUGUGUAUUUUAAAUGUUGGCUGAUGAGGUGUUGCUUGACGGUUGGGUUCACGAGUUGCUGUUGACUAUUGUUGUUGCGGUAGUUGAUGGUUGAAGUUGUUGUUCGAUGUUGUUUGGGUCGUUUUCGCUGUUGAAGUUGUUAUCGUUGGUACGAAUGAGUAUGAGGGAGGGGUGAAGGGUGUGGGCCGGGUCGGUUUUG
Molecule: long non-coding RNA, 2425 nt
Filed under: Capsicum annuum
Lineage: Eukaryota; Viridiplantae; Streptophyta; Magnoliopsida; Solanales; Solanaceae
Description: long non-coding RNA (CANN_LNC005536)
Source: RNAcentral